Molecule: small nuclear RNA, 162 nt
Organism: Choloepus didactylus (southern two-toed sloth)
Lineage: Eukaryota; Metazoa; Chordata; Mammalia; Pilosa; Megalonychidae
Product: U1 spliceosomal RNA
Exons: 1
Source: RefSeq, a predicted model, not a curated record
ACACUUACCUGGCAGGGGAGAUACCAGGAUCAUGUAGGUGGUUUUCCCAGGGAGAGGCUUAUCCAUUGCAUUCCAGAUGGGCUGACCUCUGUUAUUUACCCAAAUGUGGGGAACUUGAAUGCAUAAUUUUUGGUAAUGGAGAACUGUGCUCACACUUUCCAC